CCUACGGGAGGCAGCAGUGGGGAAUAUUGGGCAAUGGGCGCAAGCCUGACCCAGCAACGCCGCGUGAAGGAAGAAGGCUUUCGGGUUGUAAACUUCUUUUCUCAGGGACGAAGCAAGUGACGUUACCUGAGCAAUAAGCCACGGCUAACUACGUGCCAGCAGCCGCGGUAAUACGGAGGUGGCAAGCGUUAUCCGGAUUUACUGGGUGUAAAGGUCGUGUAGGCGGGGACGGAAGUCAGAUGUGAAAACCACGGGCUCAACCUGUGGCCUGCAUUUGAAACUGUGUUUCUUGAGUACUGGAGAGGCAGACGGAAUUCCUAGUGUAGCGGUGAAAUGCGUAGAUAUUAGGAGGAACACCAGUGGCGAAGGCGGUCUGCUGGACAGCAACUGACGCUGAGGCGCGAAAGCGUGGGGAGCAAACAGGAUUAGAUACCCCUGUAGUC
Molecule: ribosomal RNA, 443 nt
Filed under: uncultured bacterium
Lineage: Bacteria
Description: partial 16S ribosomal RNA
Rfam family: Bacterial small subunit ribosomal RNA
Source: RNAcentral